UCCUGAAGUAGAGUCCACUGAUCUUAGGC
This 29-nucleotide non-coding RNA is filed under the name Mus musculus (house mouse). The record is from RNAcentral. Lineage: Eukaryota; Metazoa; Chordata; Mammalia; Rodentia; Muridae.